UCUGGGAGGUUGGCAUGAGCCCCGCUUCGGUCACACUCUGAGACUUGAGUGGGAGUCGUGGAUUGUCUAAGAUGCUAGAUGGAGGUGGCCUCCCCUCUAGCCACGAAUUCUUCAUAGUUAAUCUCCACUCCUGAAUUCUCCCUUCAUCAGUAAUGCUCUAUUAAUAUGACCAAAUUUAUACAUGAGGCCAUCCUUUUAAAGUGCUCAGGGAUAAUGUUGAAUUUCAUAUUUUUUCCUAAGUCCAGCCACUAAAUUUGUCAAAAUAGUUUUCUCUAUUUUUUUUUUAAUGGAAGUCGAGUUGAUUUACAAUGUUGUGUGAGUUUUAGGUGUCUAGCACAAUGAGUCAGUCAUAUAUAUAUAUAUAUAUACACACACACCACACAUGUGCAUGCACACACACACACACGCACACUGUCUUUCUCAUAUUCUUUUCCCUUAUAGGUUUUGACAAAAGAUUGAGUAUAGUUCCCUGUGCUCUACAGGAGGUCCUUGUUGGUUCUCUACUUUAUGUAUAGUGUGUGUAAAUGGUAAUCCCAAACUCCUAAUUUAUCUCACCUCCACUUCCUCUUUGACAACGUAAGUUUUUUUUCUAUGUCUGUGGGUAUAUUUCCAUCUUGUAAAUAAGUUCUUUUUCUGUUUUUUCUUUUUUUUUUUUUAGUUUUCUCAAUUUUGUAAUUUUUAAAAGUUCAUUUUUAUUUUAUAUUGGAGUCCAGUUGAUUUACAAUGUCAUGUUAGUUUCAGGUAUACAGCAGUGACUCAAUUAUACAUUGACAUAUAUCCAUUCUUUUUCAGAUGCUUCCCAUAUAGCUUAUUAUGGACUAUUGAGUUGAGCUUCCUGUGCUACACAGUAGGUCCCUGUUGAUCAUCUCUCUGUAGUGUGUCUAUUUUGUAAUGUUAUGGUCUUUCUUCUGGGAAGAAAUAUCCGUGGACAAGGAGUUAAGAAGUUGGAUCUGCUGCUAACUGGGUGGGGAUCUGGCGGGAUGCUCUGGGAUACAAAUGACAGAAAAUCCAGCUCAGUGUCCACACAACAGAGGAAAUAUGUCAGGUUCUUGCACUGAGUCCUACUGGACUUGACUAUUCGUCAACACCAGUCUGACACCCCUGGAGCUGAUGACAGGGUCAGACCUGCCCAAACCACAAGGCUGGGAAAUCUGGGGUGCUGUUAGGAAGGGAGAGACUAGCCACCAGAGAGGACACUUACCAGUGUGUGCGUUCUGACAUGUAGCCCUCAGUCACUUUGCUUCUCUGGGCCUCAAUUCCUUUAUGAUUAUUUAUUUAUUUAUUAUCUUUUUUGGUCUGUACCCAGGGCAUACAGAGGUGUUCAGGCUAGGGGUCGCAUCAGAGCUGUAGCCGCCGGCCUACACCAGAGCCACAGCAACGCCAGAUCCAAGCCACAUCUGCGACCUACACUGCAGCUCAAGGCAACACCAGAUCCUUAACCCACUGAGUGAGACCAGGGAUCGAACCCACGUUCUCAUGGUUACUAGUCGGGUUCGUUACUGCUGAGCCAUGAUGGGAACUCCGAUUUUAUUUUUAUUAAUUAGUUUUUCGCUAAGUCAGGGCAGUCAGCCUUAGGAACUUUCUUCUUCCCCGUGGGUUGUAGAUUUUGAUCGAGAAAAAUGAGCAGCGGGGGAUAUGAGGGAGGACCCCUCGAACUUGGCGUCUCCAGCCUGCUCCGCCUUAGUAAAGUGUAUUUCGUUUGUGGCAAACGUAAAACAUGGUUGUUCAUUCACAGCAGAUCCGGGAAGGUCUGGGCACGGCUUCUUUUUCUUACCAUAACCAUCGGAGGCUCUGCUGGGAUGCUGAUCUCAACAAAGGAGCCGAGAGAGGUUUAAUUUGGACUCAGAGGGAGCUGGUGUUGGCAGAAGCCGGAGAGUGACUCUAAAUGGCAGUGGAAUCAGAUCCCUGUGGAGAGUUGCGGGUUUCUCAAGAAUGAAACCACAGACCUCAGCUUUCUGCUUCAUCCACUUCUUACGGAGCCUUUGGCUAGUCUGGACAGGAGGUUCCAGUCGUGGCACCAGGAGAGCUUUCAAGGAAGCAUCUGGGGGUGGUUCCUGAGGGAAUGAGCUCCUCGGCCUUGGUCCCAGAAUCUAUUUGGGAGGGGCGUGGACGUGGACAAAGAUGACAUGAGUCCUGGAGAUGGCAGUGAGGUAUGGGCGCCUGUCCCCCUCCCCUCCCGUGUACAGGGCUGUGUGCAGGCUCUGAGGACCUAUGGGCCACGGGGCUGCCUGAGGAGGGAGGUUUUACCCUCCUGUCCAGGAUGUAUGGGGAAAAGGUAAUCUGAUUAGUCGUACAGUCAGCCCAUUUUUUUGGUGGCUGGCUAAUUUUUGAACAUAUUUAUAGAUUUGGCAAAGGUUGAUCUGGGCCUUGAUCUAAUUCUCUGCCAUAUAGCUUUUGGAAAUUCAUUCUGAUGUGGUGGUCAGUGGUGUUCUAACCUGGCAGAACAAGUACCACCCAACUUUGUGUGUGAACUGCAAGAGAAGCAGUUCGAAGAUGGUUUCUAGUCAAAUGUCUGUGCCUUGGAGGCAUUAGCUUGAAGUGAAGCCAUCAGAUCUUUAUCCCCGUGGCUGUAGGUCCUUUGUUGGGUGCGGGAAGGGGACAAUGGGGAUAGGAGAAAGACUAGAUUGUUCUAGUUGCCUAAUGGGCAACUUCGUAGCUGUUUGUUCCUUCCAAGGGUCCAUCCGGAUGGGAGUGAGGGACCAACUUGGAGAUUCAGGCCUCGUCUCUGGAGUUAUCCACUGGCACGUCCUCCCCGCAAAUCUUUGUGUUUUAGAUUCAGACAGGAGCACAGUGCUGCUGUGUGACCACGGCCCUCCGUCUUCUGGUAUUUGGUAGCGAUGGUUGUCAUUCAUUGAUGUCCAUUUCUAUGUGAGCAUCAGGAGCCCCGCGUGUGAAAGUAGAAUGCGUGCCUGUGUCUAGUGGUCCCUUUGAAAAGUCCUGUGCAAAAACCAAAUCAGAGAAACCCCGAAACCUCUGAGGAGGAAGCCCGAGAGGUAGGCUGCAAGCAGCAAGUUACAUUCUGUGAUCUUGGAAAUUCGAUCUUGGAUGGGAUACAGAGAUAGGAGAGUGUGGUGGUUAAGCGCAUGGACCCUGCAGGCCAAGGAGACUGGGGUCUUCACUUUCCAUUUCACCUCUUAGCACCAACUGUUUGACCGCUGGCACAUGACUUUUCUUUUUUCUUUUCUUUUUUUUUUUGUCUUUUUGCCAUUUCUUGGGCCGCUUCUGUGGCAUGUGGAGGUUCCCAGGCUAGGGCUUGAAUCGGAGAUGCAGCUGCUGGCCUACACCACAGCCACAGACAGCAACAUCAGAUCUGAGCCGCGUCUGCAACCGACACCACCGCUCACGGCAACGCCAGAUCCUUAACCCACUGAGCCAGGCCAGGGAUUGAACCCGGAACCUCAUGGUUCCUAGUCGGAUUCUUUAACCACUGAGCCAUGACGGGGACUCCAUGAACUUCUUUAAGCCUCGGUGUCCUCAUCUGUAAAAGAGGCUGACAGCACCUACUUGGUAAGGAUAAUGGAAGGAUAAAAUAAAUAAUGCAGGUAAAGCUCUUGGCUGAGUGCCUGGCAUAUGGGAAGCGCUGGAGAGCUUUGUUGCUGUGUAUGCUGUGUAGUUCUCGGGGUUGCGGUAAUUGGCUGCCCGGUGUUCAUGGUUUUGGCUUUGCUGUCUGGGCGCCUUGAAUGUGCUCAGGCUGAAGUGACCUUACCCUUGGUUCUCCUCGGGGCAAUUAGAAGUAAGGUGGGGUUCCGACGGUCUCCGGACAAGCUGGGUUUCCCACCAAUGAAGGAGAGGCGAAUUCUGUCUUAUCAGACAUGAUGCUAGGGAAGGGCCCCACGCGGCUGGGUUUCAAAGCAAUAUGUUGUCCCCACCCUUCCACAGAGAGGUGACAGAAAUCUAGUUAGUGCAGAGUUACAGAGAAGCUGAGACUUCCCUGGGAGGCCGUUUUAGAUGUCUCCAUUCCUUCAGUUGGAACUGGGUUUUUACCUGUUGUGUGGUUACAACAACAACAACAACAAAUCUGCAACCACUCUUGCACAGAGGAUGGAAAGAAUGGCUUCUUACUAGAUACAGAAGCAGGGAUACUAGAUACAAAAACAGGCAAAGCACGUGAAGACCAACCAGGCUGCUUGUCGGUAGGUGGCAAAGUACUUUGCUAUAAAUAUUGCAGGACGACUCUUUCUCUACUUUAAAAAAAAAAAAAAAAAAGCUCUGCAUUUCAGACAACAGAAAUGGCUGGACAAGUCUUUAGUUCAUGUGCAAGAAACUGAAAACGACGUGAAAGAUUUUCCUUAAAUGGAGACAGCGCUUGGCCCUGUCUCAGGCUGAAGUUAAAGCCAGGGUCUGAAUUUGCCUCCCAUGCGUUACUUCUCACAUGUCAUGCGGGUUUCCUGGGCCUAGGACCUGGCGAUCGUUCAUUUUUUUCCUGUAAUCUCGAGGUGUGUACAGGGCACAGCUCAGCCUCAGACCUUUCUGCUUUCAGUUUUGGUUAGUCAGAACCUCCAUCUGGCGGUACUGGAGUGUGAGUGUUUUCUGUGGCUUUUCUGCGGCUCCUUUUCAAAGUAUUCAAAGCAGUUUAAAAAUACAUAAUGUUCGGCGAUCUGACCAAGAACUAAUGUAAGUACUUAUUUGGGGACUCUUUCAAAAAAAAAUCUAUUAGAUAGAUUUGAAACUCUUUAACUCUUACAACAUCUUGGAAAUAGAUACUAAGAUGAAAAACAACAACAACAAAAAACGGUUCGAAAAACAUAGGACUAGUUCUCCACAGUCAUCCUGCUUUUAGUGGUGACAGUAAUUGCAAAUAGCACAGUUAGUGAAAACAGAAGAGCUGAAAUUCUUUAUUUAAUAUUAAACAGGAAACUGAAAGCAGUCUGCAGCAAUGUGGUGGGUUUCCAGCAAACCUGCUGCUGGGUUUAUCUGUGCUGAAAAGCCUAAAUGAGACGUUUCCCCUUUUAUUCUGUUAAGAUGGUGAGUGUUCAUGAAAAUCUCAACCCAAACACAGCCAUUGGAAGCAGAGUCUGUCUUCUAAGGUUUUCAAGCAACCCGUUUCCACUAGAACCUAAGGAAAUUUGGAAGCAAAUUGCAAACCUCUCCAAGGGUGGAAAAUGCACUUUUGUUUCGCCUUUGUGCAGGGCUGUCACUCACCCAACAUGUGCAUAUGAAUAUUCUUUCCGAAGACCUGGGCUUCAUUUUAAGGUCAGCCUUCAAUUUUGAGAGAAUAUAAUUUGCUGCUAUUUUUAGAGCAUCAUGAUUGCUCGUAAUAACUAAUGGAAAAAACUCAACAGAGAAAUAAAUGUGUAACAGCUGUGUCUGCUUAAACUUGAUUAAAGGCAGUAAAAAAAAGUAAACAGAAGAAUGAAUGUGACAAUAGACGGAGGGAGAGGCCAGUAUCCCACAUUGUGAAAAGUUUUACAGACAUAACUCCCUCUCCUUUGGAGGCCGGCAGAGUCUGUGUUGAAAGUUUACUUUACUGUUUGUCUUGAGUGGGAUCCGUGUUGUAGUGAAUAAUUUAUAGGCAGCAUGAAUGAGCUCAUUAGUCACCUUUUCAGACUUUAAAUGAGUUUUGUGGUUGUCAUUACUCGAGCCUUCUGUUCAGCCGCCGAGCAAAAUGACAGUUUGGCAGUUGGCUGCCUUGUUGUGGGGCGGCCUGCUUCCCCCCUUCAGGUCUGCGUCGCUUCGGGGUCUCAUUGAAACCUUCCCCUUCUAUCCCUGGGCCAGCCCAGGGACUCUCACGUUUCAGAUGCCUUUUGCACCCCAAGUUUAAAUGAGUUUUUUGGG
This 5775-nucleotide long non-coding RNA is filed under the name Sus scrofa (pig). RNAcentral's name for it is "lncRNA (ENSSSCG00065053024.1)". Lineage: Eukaryota; Metazoa; Chordata; Mammalia; Artiodactyla; Suidae. The record is from RNAcentral.